AGAUUGAACGCUAGCGGGAUGCUUUACACAUGCAAGUCGAACGGCAGCGCGGACUUCGGUCUGGCGGCGAGUGGCGAACGGGUGAGUAAUAUAUCGGAACGUGCCCAGUAGCGGGGGAUAACUACGCGAAAGCGUGGCUAGUACCGCAUACGCCCUACGGGGGAAAGGGGGGGAUCGGCAAGACCUCUCACUAUUGGAGCGGCCGAUAUCAGAUUAGCUAGUUGGUGAGGUAAACGGCUCACCAAGGCGACGAUCUGUAGCUGGUUGAGAGGACGACCAGCCACACUGGGACUGAGACACGGCCCAGACUCCUACGGAGGCAGCAGUGGGAAUUUGGACAAUAGGGGAACCUGAUCCAGCCAUCCG
RNAcentral lists this ribosomal RNA (366 nucleotides) under uncultured soil bacterium. RNAcentral describes it as "bacterial SSU rRNA". It matches the Rfam family "Bacterial small subunit ribosomal RNA", at positions 26 to 399 of the family's 1533-position model. The record is from RNAcentral.